ACUUAAUAUGACAGUAUAGGUGCCUGCGAGGCUUAAUAGAUAAGCCGGUGCAAUACCGGCGCGGUCCCGCCACUGUAAUGGGGAGCAAACUCAAAAAAUGUCACUCUUGGGAAGGCCUGAGCCAGCGAUGAUCCAGAGCCAGGAGAACUGCCUAUAUGAUAAUCACCGU
RNAcentral lists this non-coding RNA (169 nucleotides) under Sporomusa sphaeroides. Lineage: Bacteria; Bacillati; Bacillota; Negativicutes; Selenomonadales; Sporomusaceae. The record is from RNAcentral. RNAcentral also lists the same sequence under 1 other name.